AGCGCAACCCUUGUCCCUAGUUGCCAGCAUUGAUUUGGGCACUCUAGGGAGACUGCCGGUGAUAAGCCGGAGGAAGUUGGGGAUGACGUCAAGUCCUCAUGGCCUUUAUGUCCAGGGCUAUACACGUGUUACAAUGGGGGUGACAAAGAGUGGCCAAGCUGCGAAGCUGCGCAUAUCUCUAUAUACCCUCUCAGUUCGGAUCGCAGUCUGCAUACUCGACUGCGUGUAGUUGGAAUCGCUAGUAAUCGCGGAUCAGCACGCCGCGGUGUAUACGUUCCCGGGCCUUGUACACACCGCCCGUCACACCAUGGGAGUUGACAGGGGCAGAAGACGUUGAGCGAACCGCAAGGAGGCAGACGUCUAAGCUCUUGUCGAUGACUGGGGUGAAGUCG
RNAcentral lists this ribosomal RNA (392 nucleotides) under uncultured bacterium. RNAcentral describes it as "bacterial SSU rRNA". It matches the Rfam family "Bacterial small subunit ribosomal RNA", at positions 1095 to 1488 of the family's 1533-position model. The record is from RNAcentral.